Molecule: ribosomal RNA, 750 nt
Filed under: uncultured bacterium
Lineage: Bacteria
Description: bacterial SSU rRNA
Rfam family: Bacterial small subunit ribosomal RNA
Source: RNAcentral
AGAGUUUGAUCAUGGCUCAGAACGAACGCUGGCGGCAUGCCUAAUACAUGCAAGUCGAACGCGUCUAGCAAUAGACGAGUGGCGGACGGGUGAGUAACGCGUGGGAACCUGCCCUUGAGUGCGGGAUAACCGAGGGAAACUUCGGCUAAUACCGCAUGCGCCCCGGGCAACUGGGGGAAAGAUUUAUCGCUCGAGGAGGGGCCCGCGUCGGAUUAGCUAGUUGGUGGGGUAACGGCCUACCAAGGCGAUGAUCCGUAGCUGGUCUGAGAGGAUGAUCAGCCACACUGGGACUGAGACACGGCCCAGACUCCUACGGGAGGCAGCAGUAGGGAAUAUUGGACAAUGGGGGCAACCCUGAUCCAGCAAUGCCGCGUGAGUGAUGAAGGCCUUAGGGUUGUAAAGCUCUUUCGCGCGCGACGAUGAUGACGGUAGCGCGAGAAGAAGCCCCGGCUAACUUCGUGCCAGCAGCCGCGGUAAUACGAAGGGGGCGAGCGUUGUUCGGAAUUACUGGGCGUAAAGGGCGCGCAGGCGGCCGAUCAAGUCAGGCGUGAAAGCCCCGGGCUUAACCUGGGAAUUGCGCUUGGGACUGGUUGGCUUGAGUUCGGGAGAGGAGAGUGGAAUUCCCAGUGUAGAGGUGAAAUUCGUAGAUAUUGGGAAGAACACCGGUGGCGAAGGCGGCUCUCUGGACCGAUACUGACGCUGAGGCGCGAAAGCGUGGGGAGCAAACAGGAUUAGAUACCCUAGUAGUCC